RNAcentral lists this ribosomal RNA (467 nucleotides) under Escherichia coli. RNAcentral's name for it is "partial 23S ribosomal RNA". It matches the Rfam family "Bacterial large subunit ribosomal RNA", at positions 2349 to 2815 of the family's 2925-position model. The record is from RNAcentral. Lineage: Bacteria; Pseudomonadati; Pseudomonadota; Gammaproteobacteria; Enterobacterales; Enterobacteriaceae.
GUGCAAUGGCAUAAGCCAGCUUGACUGCGAGCGUGACGGCGCGAGCAGGUGCGAAAGCAGGUCAUAGUGAUCCGGUGGUUCUGAAUGGAAGGGCCAUCGCUCAACGGAUAAAAGGUACUCCGGGGAUAACAGGCUGAUACCGCCCAAGAGUUCAUAUCGACGGCGGUGUUUGGCACCUCGAUGUCGGCUCAUCACAUCCUGGGGCUGAAGUAGGUCCCAAGGGUAUGGCUGUUCGCCAUUUAAAGUGGUACGCGAGCUGGGUUUAGAACGUCGUGAGACAGUUCGGUCCCUAUCUGCCGUGGGCGCUGGAGAACUGAGGGGGGCUGCUCCUAGUACGAGAGGACCGGAGUGGACGCAUCACUGGUGUUCGGGUUGUCAUGCCAAUGGCACUGCCCGGUAGCUAAAUGCGGAAGAGAUAAGUGCUGAAAGCAUCUAAGCACGAAACUUGCCCCGAGAUGAGUUCUCCC